UACGAAGGGGGCUAGCGUUGCUCGGAAUCACUGGGUGUAAAGGGUGCGUAGGCUGUCGGUUAAGUCUGAUGUGAAAUCCCUCGGCUCAACUGGGGAACUGCAUUGGAAACUAGCUGACUGGAGUACCGGAGAGGGAAGCGGAAUUCCUGGUGUAGCGGUGAAAUGCGUAGAUACCAGGAGGAACACCGGUGGCGAAGGCGGCUUCCUGGCCGAGUACUGACGCUGAGGCACGAAAGCGUGGGGAGCGAACGGG
RNAcentral lists this ribosomal RNA (253 nucleotides) under uncultured bacterium. Its description in RNAcentral is "partial 16S ribosomal RNA". It matches the Rfam family "Bacterial small subunit ribosomal RNA", at positions 524 to 776 of the family's 1533-position model. The record is from RNAcentral.